CCUACGGGGGGCAGCAGUGGGGAAUAUUGGACAAUGGGCGAAAGCCUGAUCCAGCCAUGCCGCGUGUGUGAAGAAGGCCUUCGGGUUGUAAAGCACUUUCAGUGGGGAAGAAAGCCUUGGGGCUAAUACCCUCGAGGAAGGACAUCACCCACAGAAGAAGCACCGGCUAACUCCGUGCCAGCAGCCGCGGUAAUACGGAGGGUGCGAGCGUUAAUCGGAAUUACUGGGCGUAAAGCGCGCGUAGGCGGUCUGAUAAGCCGGUUGUGAAAGCCCCGGGCUCAACCUGGGAACGGCAUCCGGAACUGUCAGGCUAGAGUGCAGGAGAGGAAGGUAGAAUUCCCGGGGUAGCGGUGAAAUGCGUAGAGAUCGGGAGGAAUACCAGUGGCGAAGGCGGCCUUCUGGACUGACACUGACGCUGAGGUGCGAAAGCGUGGGUAGCAAACAGGAUUAGAUACCCCAGUAGU
RNAcentral lists this ribosomal RNA (464 nucleotides) under Vreelandella stevensii. RNAcentral describes it as "partial 16S ribosomal RNA". It matches the Rfam family "Bacterial small subunit ribosomal RNA", at positions 338 to 794 of the family's 1533-position model. Lineage: Bacteria; Pseudomonadati; Pseudomonadota; Gammaproteobacteria; Oceanospirillales; Halomonadaceae. The record is from RNAcentral.